RNAcentral lists this long non-coding RNA (244 nucleotides) under Lathyrus oleraceus (garden pea). RNAcentral's name for it is "Pisum sativum (pea) long non-coding RNA (PSAT_LNC039151)". Lineage: Eukaryota; Viridiplantae; Streptophyta; Magnoliopsida; Fabales; Fabaceae. The record is from RNAcentral.
UUCAUCAUUUUGCCAAUUGGGAAAUGUUCCAUACAAUAUUUGUGAUUUGUUCCAAGCCAUAAACCAUCAUCAUACCACCUUUACACCUCAUUUUGACCAAAGUUGCACAAGUUGUUAUUUUUUGCAAAUUGGAGCAUAAGAACAAAGCAAGGUACAGCCUUCCAUGUAUAACCAAAAACAGCAAAACAGGUUGUCCUUCUGCAGCAUUUCACAGGCCCAAUUCGUGCAAGCACACACCCUCCAC